Molecule: small nuclear RNA, 98 nt
Filed under: Lynx canadensis (Canada lynx)
Lineage: Eukaryota; Metazoa; Chordata; Mammalia; Carnivora; Felidae
Source: RNAcentral
GUGCGCGCUUCGGCAGCACAUAUACUAAAUUGGAACAAUACAGAGAAGAUUAGCCUGGCCCUGCGCAAGGAUGACACGGAAACAAGGUGGAUAUUCAU